This 441-nucleotide ribosomal RNA is filed under the name uncultured bacterium. RNAcentral's name for it is "partial 16S ribosomal RNA". It matches the Rfam family "Bacterial small subunit ribosomal RNA", at positions 338 to 795 of the family's 1533-position model. The record is from RNAcentral.
CCUACGGGAGGCAGCAGUGGGGAAUAUUGCACAAUGGGGGAAACCCUGAUGCAGCGACGCCGCGUGAGUGAAGAAGUAUUUCUGUAUGUAAAGCUCUAUCAGCAGGGAAGAAGCAAGACGGUACCUGACUCAGACGCCCCGGCUAACUACGUGCCAGCAGCCGCGGUAAGACGCAGGGCGCAAGCGUUAUCCGGAUUUACUGGGUGUAAAGGGAGCGUAGACGGUAUGGCAAGUCUGAAGUGAAAGCCCCGGGGCUAACCCUGGGACUGCUGUGGAAACUGUUAGACUAGAGUGCUGGAGAGGUAUGUGGAAUGCGUGGUGUAGCGGUGAAAUGCGUAGAUAUUAGGAGGAACACCAGUGGCGAAGGCGGCUUACUGGACAGUAACUGACGUUGAGGCUCGAAAGCGUGGGGAGCAAACAGGAUUAGAUACCCCUGUAGUC